RNAcentral lists this ribosomal RNA (443 nucleotides) under uncultured Acetobacterium sp. RNAcentral describes it as "bacterial SSU rRNA". It matches the Rfam family "Bacterial small subunit ribosomal RNA", at positions 337 to 796 of the family's 1533-position model. The record is from RNAcentral. Lineage: Bacteria; Bacillati; Bacillota; Clostridia; Eubacteriales; Eubacteriaceae.
UCCUACGGGAGGCAGCAGUGGGGAAUAUUGCGCAAUGGGGGCAACCCUGACGCAGCAAUACCGCGUGAGUGAAGAAGGUUUUCGGAUCGUAAAGCCCUGUUAUUGGGGAAGAAAAAAGACGGUACCCAAGAAGAAAGUCCCGGCUAACUACGUGCCAGCAGCCGCGGGACUAAGUAGGGGACAAGCGUUGUUCGGUUUUACUGGGCGUUAAGGGCACGCAGGCGGUUGUUUAAGUCAGAUGUGAAAGGUACCGGCUCAACCGGUGACAUGCAUUUGAAACUGAAAGACUUGAGUAGUGGAGAGGCAAGUGGAAUUCCUAGUGUAGCGGUGAAAUGCGUAGAUAUUAGGAGGAACACCGGUGGCGAAGGCGGCUUGCUGGACAAAUACUGACGCUGAGGUGCGAAAGCGUGGGGAGCAAACAGGAUUAGAUACCCCAGUAGUCG